GACGAACGCUGGCGGCGUGCCUAAUACAUGCAAGUUGAGCGAUGAAGCUUGGUGCUUGCACCAAUUUGAAGAGCAGCGAACGGGUGAGUAACGCGUGGGGAAUCUGCCUUUGAGCGGGGGACAGCAUUUGGAAACGAAUGCUAAUACCGCAUAACAACUUUAAACAUAAGUUUUAAGUUUGAAAGAUGCAAUUGCAUCACUCAAAGAUGAUCCCGCGUUGUAUUAGCUAGUUGGUGAGGUAAAGGCUCAACAAGGCGAUGAUACAUAGCCGACCUGAGAGGGUGGUCCGCCACAUUGGGACUGAGACACGGCCCAAACCCCUACGGGAGGCAGCAGUAGGGAAUCUUCGGCAAUGGACGAAAGUCUGACCGAGCAACGCCGCGUGAGUGAAGAAGGUUGUCGGAUCGUAAAACUCUGUUGGUAGAGAAGAACGUUGGUGAGAGUGGAAAGCUCAUAAAGUGACGGUAACUACCCAGAAAGGGACGGCUAACUACGUG
Molecule: ribosomal RNA, 497 nt
Filed under: uncultured bacterium
Lineage: Bacteria
Description: partial 16S ribosomal RNA
Rfam family: Bacterial small subunit ribosomal RNA
Source: RNAcentral